RNAcentral lists this ribosomal RNA (446 nucleotides) under uncultured bacterium. RNAcentral's name for it is "partial 16S ribosomal RNA". It matches the Rfam family "Bacterial small subunit ribosomal RNA", at positions 338 to 795 of the family's 1533-position model. The record is from RNAcentral.
CCUACGGGAGGCAGCAGUCGAGAAUCAUUCACAAUGGGGGAAACCCUGAUGGUGCGACGCCGCGUGGGGGAAUGAAGGUCUUCGGAUUGUAAACCCCUGUCAUGUGGGAGCAAAUUAAAACGAUCGUACCACACGAGGAAGAGACGGCUAACUCUGUGCCAGCAGCCGCGGUAAUACAGAGGUCUCAAGCGUUGUUCGGAAUCACUGGGCGUAAAGCGUGCGUAGGCUGUUUCGUAAGUCGUGAGUGAAAGGCGCGGGCUCAACCCGCGGACGGCACAUGAUACUGCGAGACUAGAGUAAUGGAGGGGGAACCGGAAUUCUCGGUGUAGCAGUGAAAUGCGUAGAUAUCGAGAGGAACACUCGUGGCGAAGGCGGGUUCCUGGACAUUAACUGACGCUGAGGCACGAAGGCCAGGGGAGCGAAAGGGAUUAGAUACCCCUGUAGUC